Molecule: non-coding RNA, 5956 nt
Organism: Oryctolagus cuniculus (rabbit)
Lineage: Eukaryota; Metazoa; Chordata; Mammalia; Lagomorpha; Leporidae
Source: RefSeq, a predicted model, not a curated record
GCUAGCGAGACAAUAACCGGCCGCUCGGCUCUGGGGGCGGCGGCGAGGAGCAGGGCCGGCCUAGCGCGGCCGCGGCCCGCCGAGCGCCCGGGCGGCGUCUCGGCCGCCGCCGCCGCCGUCGGGGGCGCGGGGCGCGCGGGGCCCGGCCGACGGCGCCUCCCCUCCCCCUCCGCGGCGCGCGCGCUGGGGUUCCGGGUUCCCCUGGACGGAGCUGGCUCCUGCCUUGCGCCGAGGCAGGAAGUGAGUUUCGCACGGCAAUUCCGGGCGGUGUCACGAGUGAAAAAGUUUUUUUUUUUUUUUUUCCUCCUCCUCUCGGCGGAGAUCCUAGUUGGGGCUGGGAAACUCCUGCAAACUCGAGACCAGGAAGCCAGCCCGCAUCCCAACCCCCACCCGGGCAGCCUACUCUGCUGCUGCGGGCGGCCGCUGCACAUCCGUUCUCACCGGAGAGACUCGGCUGGAUGCGAAGUGACUAACGCGGGCGAGGGAAUCAUGGGCAGCGAAGCCUGGAAAAAGCAGCCCUGAGACGCCGUCCGGCCGAAAGGUGUUGACUCCUAAAAUAUUUCCUUCAUUAAUUGAAAGCAAGCGUCUGCUAGACUUUUCUUGUGACUGAACCAUUAGGAUGGAGAAGGAGGGAGUGAGGAUUACAGAUGAAGAAUGUUGGCUCAAUUAAGAAACACCAGGGAAAUAAAUUCAACCCAGUGUGUCUAAAAAUGACUACAAAACGAAGUUUGUUUGUGCGGUUGGUACCAUGUCGCUGUCUUCGAGGGGAAGAGGAGACUGUCACUACUCUGGAUUAUUCUCAUUGCAGUUUGGAACAAGUUCCCAAAGAGAUUUUUACUUUUGAAAAAACUUUGGAAGAACUCUAUUUAGAUGCUAAUCAAAUUGAAGAACUUCCAAAGCAACUCUUUAACUGUCAGUCUCUACACAAACUGAGUUUACCAGACAAUGAUUUAACCACAUUACCAGCAUCUAUUGCAAAUCUUAUUAAUCUCAGGGAACUGGAUGUCAGCAAAAAUGGAAUACAAGAGUUUCCAGAAAACAUAAAAAAUUGUAAGGUUUUGACAGUUGUGGAGGCCAGUGUAAACCCUAUUUCCAAGCUCCCUGAUGGAUUUUCUCAGCUGUUAAACCUAACCCAGUUGUAUUUGAAUGAUGCUUUCCUUGAGUUCUUGCCAGCUAAUUUUGGCAGAUUAACUAAACUCCAGAUAUUAGAACUCAGAGAAAACCAGUUGAAAAUGUUGCCUAAGACUAUGAAUAGAUUGACCCAGCUGGAAAGACUGGAUUUGGGAAGUAAUGAAUUCACAGAAGUGCCUGAAGUACUUGAGCAGCUAAGUGGAUUGAAAGAAUUUUGGAUGGAUGGUAAUAGACUGACUUUUAUUCCAGGGUUUAUUGGUAGUUUGAAACAGCUCACAUAUUUGGAUGUUUCUAAAAACAAUAUUGAAAUGGUUGAAGAAGGAAUUUCAGCAUGUGAAAACCUUCAAGACCUCCUAUUAUCAAGCAAUUCACUUCAACAACUGCCUGAGACUAUUGGUUCACUGAAGAAUGUAACAACUCUUAAAAUAGAUGAAAACCAAUUAAUGUAUUUACCAGACUCUAUAGGAGGGUUAAUAUCAAUAGAAGAACUGGAUUGUAGUUUCAAUGAAGUUGAAGCUUUGCCUUCCUCUAUUGGACAACUUACUAACAUAAGAACUUUUGCUGCAGAUCAUAAUUACUUACAACAGUUACCACCAGAGAUUGGAAACUGGAAAAAUGUAACUGUGUUGUUUCUCCAUUCUAAUAAGCUUGAGCUACUUCCAGAGGAGAUGGGUGAUAUGCAGAAAUUAAAAGUCAUUAAUUUAAGUGACAAUAGAUUAAAGAAUCUGCCCUUUAGCUUUACAAAGUUACAGCAGUUGACAGCUAUGUGGCUCUCAGAUAAUCAGUCCAAACCCCUGAUACCUCUUCAAAAAGAAACUGAUUCAGAGACUCAGAAAAUGGUGCUUACUAACUACAUGUUCCCUCAGCAGCCAAGGACUGAGGAUGUUAUGUUCAUAUCAGAUAAUGAAAGUUUUAAUCCUUCAUUGUGGGAGGAACAGAGGAAACAGCGAGCUCAAGUGGCAUUUGAAUGUGAUGAAGACAAAGAUGAAAGGGAAGCACCUCCAAGGGAAGGAAAUUUAAAGAGAUAUCCAACACCAUACCCAGAUGAGCUUAAGAAUAUGGUCAAAACUGUUCAAACCAUUGUACAUAGAUUAAAAGAUGAAGAGACCAAUGAAGACUCUGGAAGAGAUUUAAAACCACAUGAAGAUCAGCAAGUUGUAAACAAAGAUAUGGGUGAAAAGACUUCAGAAAGUACUGCUGCAAUAAAAAGCAAAGUUGAUGAAAGAGAAAAGUAUUUGAUAGGAAAUUCUAUUUUGAAGAUCAGUGAACCUGAAACUGAGAUCAGUCCUGGGAGUUUAUCAGUGACUGCACAUAUGAAAGCCUCUGAGAAUGUGAAGCACAUUGUUAACCAUGAUGAUGUUUUUGAGGAAUCUGAAGACCUUUCUUCUGAUGAGGAGAUGAAAAUGGCAGAGAUGAGACCACCAUUAAUUGAAACCUCUAUUAACCAGCCAAAAGUUGUAGCACUUAGUAAUAACAAAAAAGAUGAUAUAAAGGAUGCAGAUUCUUUAUCAGAUGAAGUUACACACAAUAGCAAUCAGAAUAACAGCAAUUGUUCUUCUCCAUCUCGGAUGUCUGAUUCAGUUUCUCUUAAUACAGAUAGUAGUCAAGACACCUCUCUCUGCUCUCCAGUGAAACAAACUCAUAUUGAUAUUAAUGCCAAAAUCAGGCAAGAAGAUGAAAAUUUCAACAGCCUUUUACAGAAUGGAGAUAUUUUAAACAAUUCAACAGAGGAAAAAUUCAAGGUUCGUGAUAAAAAAGAUUUUGACUUACCUGAAUAUGAUCUGAAUAUUGAAGAGCGAUUAGUUCUGCUUGAUAAAGGUGUUGAAUCAACAGCCACAUCCAAUGAAUCUCAGAAAUUAGACCAUCUCAAUAUGAAUUUUAAUAAACUUAUAACUAAUGAAACAUUUCAACCUGAUAUGGCGGGAAGAUCAAAGACGCAAGAUAUAAUGCUUGGAACCAACUUUUUAAGCAGUAAUUCUAAAAGAGAAGCUGAGCCUUUGGAAAAUGGAAAUAAGUAUCCUAAUUUGGAAUCCACAAACAAAGUAAAUGGACAUUCUGAGGACACGCCACAGUCUCCUAGUAGGGCUGAACCACAUGGCGUUGAUGCUACCGUUGACGUGGGUAUUUCUAAAAGCACUGAAGAUCUCUCUCCUCAGAGAAGUGGUCCAGUGGGAUCUGUUGUGAAAUCUCAUAGCAUAACCAAUAUAGAAACUGGAGGAUUAAAAAUCUACGACAUUCUUAGUGAUAAUGGACCUCAGCAACCAAGUGCAGCAGUUAAAAUCACAUCUACUGUUGAUGGAAAAAAUAUAGUCAGGAGCAAGUCUGCCACGCUGUUAUAUGAUCAACCAUUGCAAGUAUUUACUGGUUCUUCUUCAUCUUCUGAUUUAAUAUCAGGUACAAAAGCGAUUUUCAAGUUUGAUUCAAACCAUAAUCCUGAAGAGCCAAAUACAGUAAGAGGCCCCACAACAAGUGGCCCACAAUCUAUGCCUCAAAUAUAUGGUCCCCCACAAUAUAACAUCCAAUACAGUAGCAAUCCUGCAGUCAAAGACACUUUGUGGCAUUCUAAACAAAAUCCACAAGUAGAUCAAGUAAGUUUUCCUCCUCAGCGCCUUCCUAGAUCAGAGAGCACAGAAAAUCACAGCUAUGCCAAACAUUCUGCCAAUAUGAAUUUCUCUAACCAUAAUAAUGUUCGAGCUAACACUGCAUACCAUUUACAUCAGAGACUUGGCCCCGCAAGACAUGGGGAAAUGUGGGCCAUCUCACCAAAUGAACGACUCAUUCCUGCAGUAACUCGAGGUACAAUUCAGCGACAAAGUAGUGUGUCCUCCACAGCCUCUAUAAAUCUUGGUGAUCUAGGUCCCACAAGGAGGGCCCAAAUUCCUGAGGGAGAUUAUUUAUCAUACAGAGAGUUACAUUCAGUGGGAAGAACUCCACCAAUGAUGUCAGGAUCACAGAGACCUCUUUCUGCACGAACAUACAGCGUUGAUGGUCCAAAUGCAUCAAGGCCUCAGAGUGCUCGGCCUUCUGUUAAUGAAAUACCAGAGAGAACUAUGUCAGUUAGUGAUUUCAAUUAUUCACGGACUAGCCCUUCAAAAAGACCAAAUACAAGGGUGGGUUCUGAACAUUCUUUAUUAGAGCCUCCAGGAAAAAGUAAAGUUCCUCAUGAUUGGCGAGAACAAGUACUUCGACACAUCGAGGCCAAAAAGUUAGAAAAGAGCAUGCUGUCAAGGUCCUUUAAUUCCAAUUUGACUGCUGUAAGCAGUUUUCACUAUGGCAGCUCUAGGGAUCUGCAUGGCAGCCAGGGCAGUCUUGCCUUGAGUGUUGCAGACGGAAGAGGUUCUGGUGGGCACAUUUUUCGAACAUCCAGUCCAGGAGAUCCUUGCCAAGAUGAUACAUUCAUUUCAGGACAGCAGAACUACUCGUCAGCUACACUUAGUCACAAAGAUGUUCUUCCAGACAGCUUGAUAAAAAUGCCUUUGAGUAAUGGACAGAUGGGCCAGCCUCUCAGGCCUCAGGCAAAUUAUAGUCAAAUACAUCACCCCCCUCAGGCAUCUGUGGCAAGGCAUCCCUCUAGAGAACAACUAAUUGAUUACUUGAUGCUGAAAGUGGCCCACCAACCUCCAUAUACACAGCCCCAUUGUUCUCCUAGACAAGGCCAAGAACUGGCAAAACAAGAGAUUCGAGUAAGAAUUGAAAAGGAUCCAGAGCUUGGAUUUAGCAUAUCAGGAGGUGUUGGAGGUAGAGGAAACCCAUUCAGACCUGAUGAUGAUGGUAUAUUUGUAACAAGAGUACAGCCUGAAGGACCAGCAUCAAAAUUACUGCAACCAGGUGAUAAAAUUAUUCAGGUCUGGUGGUCUUCAUCUAAGGCAAAUGAGAAGGCUAGCGCCCCCUACCUUGCAGUUUGGUCACUUCAGGCUACAUUAGGACACACACACAGACAGGACCAUGUCUGACACUGAAUUAGACAAGUGUUUACUACAGUGGGCUGCUCCAUAAGAUUUGUCUGAAAACGUGGACAAAAUGCGGGUUCCUGGACUACAUCUUCAGAGAUUUUAUUUACAAAGGCUAAUGGCUACAGUUUUAUCAAUAUUGAACAUGGACAAGCAGUGUCCUUGCUUAAAACUUUCCAGAAUACAGUAGAACUCAUCAUUGUACGAGAAGUUCCCUCAUAAGCACUGUGGACAAGCAAGGGGGAAGACAGCAAGAUUUACUGGAAGAUACUUGCAGGGGAAAUUAAUAUUUUGACUAUUUUUAUAUAUAAAGAACUCAAAAAAUUAUGUUCAAAUUUGUACAUUAAUGAAAUAAUGGAACUUGUGGUUAGAGGGAAAGAACCACUGUACAGAAUAUAAAGAAGACUGUUGAAUUCGUACCAUAUGAAACUUACUGUUAGGUUUUUAAACAUAGCAAUCAAGGCUGCAGAAACAAACCCACGUUGUUUUUGUAUAGAUGGUGGCUUUAUUUUUGGAUUUCAUGUACAUGACUGUGUGCAAGGCAAUAGUUAGCCUUGACUGCAGCCCAGAGGCGGAUGGCAGAGCCGUCUGCCUCAUAGCUUUUGUGCCCUUAUUUUUAUUUGACUGGGAUUAAUGUUUUCUGCUGAAACUACUUUUCUUAAUGUGGGCAGAGAUUUGAAGUGUUGGCUUUUGCUAUGUGCAUAUUGAAUUGAAGAGUGAGUAGGUGAAGGUGGUGCUGAUGGGUUCACUUUCCAAGGCCAGAUUAAAAGUUAUUUCCUAUAAAGAUCUGGAAGCAAAGAAUGAAAAAAAAAAAAAGCUGUCCAUGUGUUUUUAUUGAUCGAAUAAUGCAAUAAAAUAUGUAAUGUCUUUUUUAA